GAUGAACGCUAGCUACAGGCUUAACACAUGCAAGUCGAGGGGAAACGAUAUUGGAAGCUUGCUUCCGAUAGGCGUCGACCGGCGCACGGGUGAGUAACGCGUACCCAACCUGCCCAUCACUUGGGGAUAACCUUGCGAAAGUAAGACUAAUACCCAAUGACGUCUCUAGAAGACAUCUGAAAGAGAUUAAAGAUUUAUCGGUGAUGGAUGGGGAUGCGUCUGAUUAGCUUGUUGGCGGGGUAACGGCCCACCAAGGCGGCGAUCAGUAGGGGUUCUGAGGGGAAGGGCCCCCACAUUGGAACUGGGACACGGGCCAAACUCCUACGGGAGGCAGCAGUGAGGAAUAUUGGUCAAUGGGCGAGAGCCUGAACGAGCCAAGUAGCGUGCAGGAUGACGGCCCUAUGGGUUGUAAACUGCUUUUAUAAGGGAAUAAAGUGGGAGUCGUGACUCCUUUUGCAUGUACCUUAUGAAUAAGGAUCGGCUAAUUCCGUGCCAGCAGCCGCCGUAA
This 508-nucleotide ribosomal RNA is filed under the name uncultured bacterium. RNAcentral's name for it is "partial 16S ribosomal RNA". It matches the Rfam family "Bacterial small subunit ribosomal RNA", at positions 28 to 523 of the family's 1533-position model. The record is from RNAcentral.